UGGGGAAUAUUGCACAAUGGGCGCAAGCCUGAUGCAGCCAUGCCGCGUGUAUGAAGAAGGCCUUCGGGUUGUAAAGUACUUUCAGCGGGGAGGAAGGGAGUAAAGUUAAUACCUUUGCUCAUUGACGUUACCCGCAGAAGAAGCACCGGCUAACUCCGUGCCAGCAGCCGCGGUCAUACGGCGGGUGCAAGCGUUAAUCGGAAUUACUGGGCUUAAAGCGCACGCAGGCGGUUUGUUAAGUCAGAUGUGAAAUCCCCGGGCUCAACCUGGGAACUGCAUCUGAUACUGGCAAGCUUGAGUCUCGUAGAGGGGGGUAGAAUUCCAGGUGUAGCGGUGAAAUGCGUAGAGAUCUGGAGGAAUACCGGUGGCGAAGGCGGCCCCCUGGACGAAGACUGACGCUCAGGUGCGAAAGCGUGGGGAGCAAACAGG
RNAcentral lists this ribosomal RNA (429 nucleotides) under Chloroflexota bacterium. Its description in RNAcentral is "Chloroflexi bacterium partial 16S ribosomal RNA". It matches the Rfam family "Bacterial small subunit ribosomal RNA", at positions 355 to 776 of the family's 1533-position model. The record is from RNAcentral. Lineage: Bacteria; Bacillati; Chloroflexota.